CAAAAGCCUGGUCCUGACUUUUUUAUCCGCCCUAGCCAAGCUUAUACAUGCGAGUCUCCGCACCCCAGUGAGAAUGCCCUCAAAUCCUACCCGGAAGCGAGGAGCAGGUAUCAGGCACACCUAAUGUAGCCCAUGACGCCUUGUUAAAGCCACACCCUCAAGGGUACUCAGCAGUAGCAAAUAUUUGGCAAUUAGUGUAAACUUGACCUAACUACGGCUAACAGGGCCGGUAAAACUCGUGCCAGCCACCGCGGUCAUACGAGUGCUUAACCCAAGUGGAUAACUAGCGGCGUAAAGAGUGGUUAAGGCCCCCCGACAACUAAAGAAGAACGACCUCCGGGCUGUUAUACGCACCCGAUAGUACGAACCCCUUUUACGAAAGUAACUUUAAGCCUCACCUGAACCCACGAAAGUUGGGGAACAAACGGGGAUUAGAUACCCCCUUAUGCCCAACCGUAAACAUAAAUAGAAAUUAGUAUAAUCUAUUCGCCCGGGAAUUACAAGCAUUAGCUUCAAACCCAAAGGACUUGGCGGUGCUUUAUACCCACCUAGAGGAGCCUGUCCUAGAACCGAUACCCCCCGUUCAACCUCACCACUUCUAGCCCAACCCGCCUAUAUACCACCGUCGUCAGCUUACCCCGCAAGGGUCUAGUAGUAAGCUUAGCCGGCACUGCCCAAAACGUCAGGUCAAGGUGUAGCGCACGAAGUGGGCAAGAGAUGGGCUACAUUUUCUGACUCAGAAAAUUACGAAAAGAAGAAAUGAAAAAGCUUCCGAAGGAGGAUUUAGCAGUAAGCAAGGAACAGAGCGCCUUGCUGAAACUGGCCCUAAAGCGCGUACACACCGCCCGUCACUCUCCCCACGUCUACCCUUUAGCCAACAUCAUAAAAACAGCCUUAAAACACAGGGGAGGCAAGUCGUAACAUGGUAAGUGUACCGGAAGGUGUACUUGGACUAUA
RNAcentral lists this non-coding RNA (957 nucleotides) under Centrobranchus choerocephalus. RNAcentral describes it as "12S rRNA". It matches the Rfam family "Bacterial small subunit ribosomal RNA". The record is from RNAcentral. Lineage: Eukaryota; Metazoa; Chordata; Actinopteri; Myctophiformes; Myctophidae.